This 243-nucleotide ribosomal RNA is filed under the name uncultured bacterium. RNAcentral's name for it is "partial 16S ribosomal RNA". It matches the Rfam family "Bacterial small subunit ribosomal RNA", at positions 118 to 353 of the family's 1533-position model. The record is from RNAcentral.
UAGGUAACCUGCCUUGUAGCGGGGGAUAACUAUUGGAAACGAUAGCUAAUACCGCAUAACAAUGGAUGACACAUGUCAUUUAUUUUGAAAGGGGCAAUUGCUCCACUACAAGAUGGACCUGCGUUGUAUUAGCUAGUAGGUGAGGUAAUGGCUCACCUAGGCGACGAUACAUAGCCGACCUGAGAGGGUGAUCGGCCACACUGGGACUGAGACACGGCCCAGACUCCUACGGGAGGCAGCAUG